UUUUAUUUUGAUGGUAACAGGACGCAAACACUGUACUCUCCAGUGCGUCAAACACUAAGCCACGCCUGGUUUUAGAGGGUGAAAUAAUUUUUCACCGACUGUUUAUGCAGAUGUGCCGAUUUUUUAUUUUAAUCUUUUACGGUCCUUCAUUAACUUAUAGUACAUUGUCAUAGCUGGAGCAGAGAUCGUAAUUUGACCCGUUAUUACAUUGUCGCUAGCACUUGUAAGACUGAACACAACGAAACUAUCUUAUGUAGCACCCAAUGGCUCGGGCGUGAAAAGAGACUCCGAGACCUGGACUUGAACCGAGGAUCUCUAACUAACAGGACCAGUGCUGUACCACUGAGAUAUCUGAAAAAGCAAACUAAAAUGGUUCAAAACAGUAGAUGCCUCCAAACAGGCCAGCCACCAUGUCAUCAAUACAGUGAAAGAUCUCUAAACAUGC
Molecule: long non-coding RNA, 445 nt
Organism: Limulus polyphemus (Atlantic horseshoe crab)
Lineage: Eukaryota; Metazoa; Arthropoda; Merostomata; Xiphosura; Limulidae
Exons: 3
Source: RefSeq, a predicted model, not a curated record